AACAUUAUUUUAACUGCAGUCUCGCCCCCCUGUGAAAAUGCCCUUCUUUACCUAUUAGUAAAUAAGGAGCGGAUAUCAGGCACAAUUUAUGCCCAUAACAUCUUGCCAAGCCACACCUCUACAGGAAUUCAGCAGUGAUAAACAUUGAAAAAUAAGCGUCAAUAAGCUCGAAUCAGUAAUAAUUUUAAGAGUUGGUAAAUUUCGUGCCAGCCACCGCGGUUAUACGAGAAACUCAAAUUAAUAAAAACGGCCUAAAGCGUGAUUAAAUUAUAUUAAAAUAAAUAGAAAUAAAAAUUAACUCGACUGUUAUACGUAUAUGUUAAACGGUAAACCAAAAACGAAAGAUAUUCUAACAAAUAAACUACUUGAACCCCCGAAAGCUAAGAAACAAACUAGGAUUAGAUACCCUACUAUGCUCAGCCUUAAACUUUGGAACAACCCGCCGAGAUACCCUACUAUGCUCAGCCUUAAACUUUGGAACAAGAUACCCUACUAUGCUCAGCCUUAAACUUUGGAACAACCCGCCUGAGUACUACGAGCCACAGCUUAAAACUCAAAGGACUUGGCGGUGCUCUACACCCCCUACCUUUUUUAAACUAGAAAAUUCGAAAAAUUUUAUGAAAAACUAUUUAAAGGUGGAUUUAGCCGUAAAAAGAAAAUAGAGUGUUCUUUUUAAAUAGGCCAUAGAGGGGGCACACACCGCCCGUCACCCUCCUCAGAAAAACAAC
RNAcentral lists this ribosomal RNA (728 nucleotides) under Hynobius leechii (Gensan salamander). RNAcentral's name for it is "partial 12S ribosomal RNA". Lineage: Eukaryota; Metazoa; Chordata; Amphibia; Caudata; Hynobiidae. The record is from RNAcentral.